This 69-nucleotide transfer RNA is filed under the name Goniurosaurus lichtenfelderi. Its description in RNAcentral is "tRNA-Trp". The record is from RNAcentral. Lineage: Eukaryota; Metazoa; Chordata; Lepidosauria; Squamata; Eublepharidae.
AGAAACUUAGGUUACACACAAACCAAGAGCCUUCAAAGCUCAAAACAGAGAAUAUACCUCUAGCUUCUG